This 1032-nucleotide long non-coding RNA is filed under the name Oryctolagus cuniculus (rabbit). RNAcentral's name for it is "lncRNA (ENSOCUG00000036563.1)". The record is from RNAcentral. Lineage: Eukaryota; Metazoa; Chordata; Mammalia; Lagomorpha; Leporidae.
AUUCCAUUUGGUGUUUACCAGUCUAAGUGCAAGAUUCCAUUUGGUGUUUACCAGUCUACAUACAACAUUCCAUUACGGUACUUACCAGUCUAUGUGCAAUAUUCCAUUACGGUACCUACCAAUCUAUGUACAAUAUUCCAUUAUGGUACUUACCAGUCUACAUACAACAUUCCAUUAUGGUACUUACCAGUCUAUGUACAAUAUUCCAUUAUGGUGUUUACCAGUCUACAUACAAUAUUCCAUUAUGGUGUUUACCAAUCUACAUAUCCUUUGCCACUGAGCUGUACAUUUUCACAGUAGGUUCACACUAAUUUAAUUUUCAUGAAUAUAUUACAGUUUUAUUUCAAAGAGUCUUCUCCCUUCACUCUUCUUUAAUAAAAAGCUUCAGCUUUUCUUGGCCUAUUAUUUUUUCUAUGUGAACUUUACACCCAGUUUCAGGAAAAAGUGAGCUUUUCUAUUCAAGUUGCAUGAAAAAUACAUAUUUACUGGCGAAGAGACACCAUCUUUAUAGCAUUAAGUCAUUUAUUUUCUCUUGCAGGGACAGUCUUCCAUCCAGGGCAGGAACAGGCAAGGGGACCUCCAUCCAUGAUCAAGUUACAUAUAACUCUGCCAGAAGAAGGAGAAGGAGAAGGAGAAGGAGAAGGAGAAGGAGAAGGAGAAGGAGAAGGAGAAGGAGAAGGAGAAGGAGAAGGGAUGCAGGGGCAGGCGCCGUGGUGUAGCAGGCCAGGCCACCGCCUGCAGUGCUGGCAUCCCAUAUGGGCUCCAGUUCGAGACCCAGCUGCUCCACUUCUGAUCCAGCUCUCUGCUGUGGCCUGGGAAAGCAGUGGAAAUGGCCCAGGUCCUUGGGCCCCUGCACCCACAUGGGAAACCCAGAGAAAGUUCCUGGCUCCUGGCUUUGGAUUGGCGCAGCUCUGGCCGUUGUGCACAUCUGGGGAGUGAACCAGUGGAUGGAAGACUUCUCUUUCUCUCUGUGCCUCUCUGUAACUCUGCCUUUCUAAUAAAUAAAACAAUCCUUUUUUUUUUUCUUUAAAG